Molecule: ribosomal RNA, 523 nt
Filed under: uncultured bacterium
Lineage: Bacteria
Description: partial 16S ribosomal RNA
Rfam family: Bacterial small subunit ribosomal RNA
Source: RNAcentral
GACGAACGCUGGCGGCGUGCCUAAUACAUGCAAGUCGAACGCUUUUUCUUUCACCGGAGCUUGCUCCAUCGAAAGAAAAAGAGUGGCGAACGGGUGAGUAACACGUGGGUAACCUGCCCAUCAGAAGGGGAUAACACUUGGAAACAGGUGCUAAUACCGUAUAACACUAUUUUCCGCAUGGAAGAAAGUUGAAAGGCGCUUUUGCGUCACUGAUGGAUGGACCCGCGGUGCAUUAGCUAGUUGGUGAGGUAACGGCUCACCAAGGCAACGAUGCAUAGCCGACCUGAGAGGGUGAUCGGCCACACUGGGACUGAGACACGGCCCAGACUCCUACGGGAGGCAGCAGUAGGGAAUCUUCGGCAAUGGACGAAAGUCUGACCGAGCAACGCCGCGUGAGUGAAGGAGGUUUUCGGAUCGUAAAACUCUGUUGUUAGAGAAGAACAAGGAUGAGAGUAAAAUGUUCAUCCCUUGACGGUAUCUAACCAGAAAGCCACGGCUAACUACGUGCCAGCCGCCGCCGUAA